AUGAACGCUAGCGGCAGGCUUAACACAUGCAAGUCAGGGGCAGCGAGAGAGUAGCAAUACUUUUGUCGGCGACCGGCGGACGGGUGCGUAACGCGUAUGCAACCUACCUUAUACAGGGGGAUAACCUUUCGAAAAGGGAGACUAAUACCGCAUAACAUACUUUGAGGCAUCUUGAGGUAAUUAAAUCUUCGGAGGUAUAAGAUGGGCAUGCGUAGCAUUAGCUAGAUGGUGCGGUAACGGCGUACCAUGGCGACGAUGCUUAGGGGUUCUGAGAGGAAGGUCCCCCACACUGGUACUGAGAUACGGACCAGACUCCUACGGGAGGCAGCAGUGAGGAAUAUUGGUCAAUGGUCGGAAGACUGAACCAGCCAUGCCGCGUGCAGGAAGAAUGUCUUAUGGAUUGUAAACUGCUUUUGUAUGGGGCUAAUAAUAACUUUGCGAAGUUAGAUGCAGGUACCAUACGAAUAAGGAUCGGCUAACUCCGUG
RNAcentral lists this ribosomal RNA (486 nucleotides) under uncultured bacterium. RNAcentral describes it as "bacterial SSU rRNA". It matches the Rfam family "Bacterial small subunit ribosomal RNA", at positions 29 to 507 of the family's 1533-position model. The record is from RNAcentral.